UCGAGGAUCUUCGUCAAUGGGCGCAAGCCUGAACGAGCGACGCCGCGUGCGCGAUGAAGGCCUUCGGGUUGUAAAGCGCGAAAGUGGGGAGAAAGCCGCAAGGUUGAUCAAUCCACAGUAAGGACGGGCUAAGUUCGUGCCAGCAGCCGCGGUAAGACGAACUGUCCUAACGUUGUUCGGAAUCACUGGGCUUAAAGGGCGCGUAGGCGGUCGAUCAAGUCAGGGGUGAAAUCCUGCAGCUUAACUGUAGAAGUGCCUUUGAUACUGGUCGUCUCGAGGGAGGUAGGGGUGUGUGGAACUUCCAGUGGAGCGGUGAAAUGCGUUGAUAUUGGAAGGAACGCCGGAGGCGAAAGCGACGCACUGGACCUCUUCUGACGCUGAGGCGCGAAAGCUAGGGGAGCAAACGGGAUUAGAUACCCCCGUAGUCC
RNAcentral lists this ribosomal RNA (428 nucleotides) under uncultured bacterium. RNAcentral describes it as "bacterial SSU rRNA". It matches the Rfam family "Bacterial small subunit ribosomal RNA", at positions 355 to 796 of the family's 1533-position model. The record is from RNAcentral.